This 2225-nucleotide long non-coding RNA is filed under the name Malus domestica (apple). Its description in RNAcentral is "long non-coding RNA (MDOM_LNC010161)". The record is from RNAcentral. Lineage: Eukaryota; Viridiplantae; Streptophyta; Magnoliopsida; Rosales; Rosaceae.
CAUAUUAUUUGCUGAGAUACUUGACAUGGCACAUACUUUGGUUUUCAUUGCUUUCAAGCCUAAUUUCUAUAUACGAAUGUAUCAUUAUUUUCUAGAAAAGUAUACGGGUUUUACAGUGAGGGGUUAUUAUUUUUGGAAAGAGAAAUGGUUUCAAAAAGCUUUGUUUUUUGCCCACUCAUGUUUUCUUUAUUUCGCCCCUCCAGGUUUUAGCUACUGAAAGUUCAUAUCGACAAGGAUUCUUGGCGAAACUUAGCAUAGGUGGCUACCUCUAAGGGUAUGAUCCUUACCCACACUACUGUACUUUACUUAUGCUCUGAUGUCACGUGUGAAAUAAGUUCAUUCCUGCUCACAAUGCACUCUUUUCUUUAGACAUUAUUAGGUUUAAAUUUAUUUACAUUUUUCAAUAUCACUAUACUUUAUGGCUUCGUCACUUUCCAAGUGUCUGACAACACAGCUCGAUUCGAAGUCCUACUGGACAUUCCGGGUCGGGAUAUGUCACGCAUGAUAAAAAAAAAAAAAAAAAACGUAAUUAUUUAUAAUGAGUUGUAGAAAGUUUUCUUAAGUAGGAAAGAUAAUACGCUAUUAGGUUUAUUGAGAUUCCUUAGAGUCAAAAUCACUAUAACUAAAUAGCUUUGGUUUCAAAUCUUGUAGGUACCAUUCAUCUAAUGCAUGCUUGGGUAUCUCUCUCUUAGUUCAUCUACCUCAAACUUCAUCGGCUCAUUAACGUUAAAAUGCUUUAAGUAUGACUCAAAUAAACAUGCUACAGAUAUAUUUAUGGAGUUAAAUUUUAUUUAAAAUAACAUAUCUUGAAACCAUGAAUGCAUUAUAAAUUUAAAAAUAUAAUGUAUCGUGUUUCGAUGGAAUAAGAAAAGAAAAGAAGAACAUGGUCGUAAGGGAACUUGAGGGAACUAUGUUUUAAUUGGACCCCCUUAAAGUGAGGAUUUAGAUCUAUGCGUUUAAUAAAAGGAAAGGUUGUUAAAAAUCAAUCAAAGUGCUUAGUUUAUGUUUUUUUUUUCCGGUAAUUAAAGGUUGUUAAAGUCAGGUAGUUAUAAAAUGGAUUACUUUCAUUUUUGCUAAAGUCGAUUGCUAGAUCCAAUGCUCCUAAAAAGGACUUUGUCAUAUAGUGCUUAUUCACAAGGUGAAACAAUAGUGGAAUACCCUUCUUCUAGAAUUGUUUUCCAUGUAAAAAUAAUAUAGACAAAAAAAUAGUGUGCGUAAAUCAUUUCUAACCAGAAUUAUCACAUGAUUAAUACCUAAGGAGCUAUCUAGGCUGGUUCUGAGAAUUUGAGGGCUGUAGUGAGCCUUCAAAGUAGAGCCCUAAAGUCAUCUAGCUCCCAAUCCUUUGUACAUUGAUAUGUAUAAAACAAUACUGCCGAAUUUCACACUGCCAACACCAAGAAAGAUUACACUCUAUUUCCACCACGCCAACAACUCAUUUGCUUAAUUUGGGUUACUUUGAUUAAUUUAUAAUAUCUAUACCAUUUUAAAAAACAUUCCUCCCACCAAGAUCGGGGGCCCUAGUUGUCGCUUAUUCAGCUACUUUCAGGGCCGGCCUUGAAGGCGAUUCAUAAAGAAGUAGCUAUUAUGAUAUAUAUUAGUUUUACAAUAAUUGAUCACCUUACCAAUCGUUGUGAGGCGAUCGAAUAAAAGAGAAGCACUCAUUAUGUAUAGAUGAGUUUUCUUUUCUGACAAUAACUGAUCACAUAAGUAACAUACGAGAGGCAAAUAAGAGAAAAAUUAACUAUGCAUGUAUGUUGUGUGCUAUAGUUUUUCACUCUCCAACAAAGUAACUUAUAAUCUUUGCUUGAGUAACACACCUAACCAAUAUCUAACCAUGUGUGGCGUUCAUCCAUUUGUGGUUAAAACUUUAUGGUGAAAGUAACAGAGCAUGGAGGAGUGGAAUGAUGUAAACUAGAGGGUACUACGACAUUCAUGUGUACCAAACAAGCAAAGGUUCAAAGGAGAGAGAGAGAGAGAGAGAGAGAGAGAGAGAGAGAGAGAGAGGUGUCACACUUCAAACUGUAACAAGCAAAGGUUCAAAGGAGGGAGGGAGGGAGAGAGAGAGAGAGAGAGAGAGAGAGAGAGAGAGAGAGAGAGAGAGGUGUCACACUUCAAACUGUGAGUUUGGAUGGGGAACCUCUCCUAAUCAUUUUUAUGGAAAUCUUUACAUUUUAGUCGUUAAUCGUAUAUCGUGUGGUCAAUGUUCAUUAGUUACUAUUUGUGUU